Molecule: non-coding RNA, 120 nt
Organism: Triticum aestivum (bread wheat)
Lineage: Eukaryota; Viridiplantae; Streptophyta; Magnoliopsida; Poales; Poaceae
Source: Rfam
AAUAUACUCCCUCCGUCCGAAAAAGCUUGUCCCUCAAAUGGAUGUAUCUAGCACCGCACUAGAUACAUCCAUUUGAGAGAUAAGCUGGGGACAAGUUUUUUCGGACGGAGGGAGUACCAC